RNAcentral lists this ribosomal RNA (483 nucleotides) under uncultured bacterium. Its description in RNAcentral is "partial 16S ribosomal RNA". It matches the Rfam family "Bacterial small subunit ribosomal RNA", at positions 30 to 506 of the family's 1533-position model. The record is from RNAcentral.
AUUGAACGCUGGCGGAAUGCUUUACACAUGCAAGUCGAACGGCAGCACGGGGGCAACCCUGGUGGCGAGUGGCGGACGGGUGAGUAAUACAUCGGAACGUGCCCGGUCGUGGGGGAUAACGUAGCGAAAGUUACGCUAAUACCGCAUACGAUCUGAGGAUGAAAGCGGGGGACCUUCGGGCCUCGCGCGAUCGGAGCGGCCGAUGUCAGAUUAGGUAGUUGGUGGGGUAAAGGCCUACCAAGCCGACGAUCUGUAGCUGGUCUGAGAGGACGACCAGCCACACUGGGGCUGAGACACGGCCCAGACUCCUACGGGAGGCAGCAGUGGGGAAUUUUGGACAAUGGGCGCAAGCCUGAUCCAGCCAUUCCGCGUGCAGGACGAAGGCCUUCGGGUUGUAAACUGCUUUUGUAUGGAACGAAAAGGCUCUGGCUAAUACCUGGGGCUCGUGACGGUACCGUAAGAAUAAGCACCGGCUAACUACGU